Long non-coding RNA from Aptenodytes forsteri (emperor penguin), 884 nucleotides. RefSeq lists it as uncharacterized. NCBI's taxonomy places the organism in Eukaryota, Metazoa, Chordata, Aves, Sphenisciformes, Spheniscidae. The record is from RefSeq and is a predicted model, not a curated record. The transcript is spliced from 3 exons.
UUCUGAAGAUCAUUCCCAGAACAGUCAGCUAGGAUUGACUAGCAAGUCAGAGCGAUCUUCUCUCCUUUAUUUUGUUUGGGGUUUUUUUUAAUGGUUUCAUUGUCUGAAGGUGAACAGCUUUUAUCUAAAUGCAAUUUUAGGAACCGUACAAUAUUUCAAGAACGAAGCAAUCUGCAUGUAAGUGAGGUUUUGGAGUGUUUGUUUACUGAAUGUAAAAGUUGUUAAAAGUUCAUAUCCUAAAACUGGAUCAAGGAUUCUAAUCAGACUGGAGUUGAAGUUCCUUCCAUGCAAAAAAAGAAAAAAGAAAAUAAAAGAAAGAAAGAAAGAAAAAAAAAGCUUUCAAGUACUCUCAGUCAAUUAGGAAAGACUACCAUCAGAUUUUUUCCAAGAACCCACUGAUGACCUCCAGUGAGCUCCAUUCAAUAAUGUCAGCAUGACUACAGUUGGCAAUGGAGACUAAAACUGUUUGCAGGACCACUGCUUCUGGACAUCGAGUCCCCUCUGUAUAAUCACUGGGCUAAGAUCAUUAAACAAGAACUGGUACUGCGGUUUACACUAAAAGUCCAUCUAGACCAGCAUCCUUCCUCUAAGAGUAGCCACAACGGGACACUUCACAUAAACAUUCCCAUCCUUUGUCUCCUAUUGAACUUCAGGAGUUGUUUGCCUGUCAGAGAACCACCCCUUUUUAACUAUGCUGCCAUUUUGUAAGAGCCUUUGUUACAGGAGUGUUAAAAGCUUAUUCAAAUCCAAAUAACACUGUAUCAACAAGUCAUCUUACCCACUUCCUCCUCAAUUAUUUGAAAUAACUCAAAAAGACCUUUGGAGAAAGGAGUCAUUUUUACAUUGCAUAGCAUGUUUUGUCAAUCUUAUUUUGAUCUCAGGCC